AGGGAGCUACUGAUAGCGACGCCCGUUGUAUUCAGCCCUCCCCCCCGGCUGCACCUUGGAAUUGCCGAAGAAGCUUUUUUAAAACUCCAGAUGGGCCGGGUGCGGCGGUUCACACCUAUAAUCCCAGCACUCUGAGAGGCCGAGGCGGGAGGAUCGCUUGAGCCCAGGAUGACCUCCUGGGCAACAUAGUGGGACUCCGUCUCUACAAAUCAAAAAACAAACAAAAACUUCAAAUGCAGAAUCUCUAGGGGUGGGGUCUUGACCUCAGAGUUUUAAAAGCGCUCCAGGUGAUUCAAGGUGCAGAGAGAGUUGAGACCCACACCACCAGUGGCAGCUGGUGACAGCCUCAGCUUUUUGCUUCCGUGUCACGGUUGGCGCUGCAGCUCUGGGAUUCAUUCAUUCAUAUAGCUCGUAUUUAUUGAGCACCUACCAUAUGCCUGGAACGGUGCUAGGGAAACAGCAGUGUUAAACAGGUGAAGUCCUGCCCGCAUGAAGUUUUACAUUGUAGUUCAGGACACAAUAAGCAGCUUAGCCCAAAACAGAGCCAAGCCAGCCUACCUAAAGGAGCAGGAGCAUGCCCAGUGGCAUCAUUGUGACUGUACUGCUGAUUGGCUGGCAGCCUGGGGAGUGUCUGCCCCAGGUUAUACGAUACCCAGGGCCCUCACAUCAUUCAUGGUGGUCUUCACUGGCCCAAAGUGUAAAGAUCUUUAAGGCAAGAAUCUUAUCUAGUCCCAAUUCUACAAACCCCGUGAACUUUCUAAAGCUGUACUCCCUGCAUAUUUUUAGUAUGAGCUUCCUGAAAAUAGAGAUGAUGCCAUUUUUAUCUUUCCCUCUCUCCCCUACCAGUGUCUAGCAUAGUUCUUGGCCCAUAAAAAACACUCAGUAAAUGUCUGAAUGGAUAAGUAAAUAAUUGGUUGUGGCUCAUGAGACACAGAUAAUUUGAAUAUAGUUUCAGAUGUAGCAGAACUAGAUGAAGAGAAGUUGUGAAGAGUGAGAAAGGAAUAUUUGUGUGUCCUGAGUGGUGAGAAUUGAUUUGAGAGCUUACCAUGUUUGGGAAAUUGCAGGAUCUAUGGAAGAAGGCCAUAACCUGGCCUUCACCACCAAGGAGCUUACAGUUGAGCAGUCAGAGGCUCCAUCCUUGGGGAGGUGAGAGAGCGUAACGUUCACUUGCUUGAUUGUUAGUGUAAGAGGAGCCAGCAAAGGAGGAAAGAGUUUUCUCUUUCGGAGUUGUCAUCACCUAGGGCAGUCGUUUCUGAUCAGUCAAAGGCCCACACAGGUUUGAGUCCCAGCUACAGAUGCAACUCAUGGCUGUGUUAGUGAUUCUGUAGCAGCUGAUGAAUGCAUUCCUGGUAGAGUGAACAAGUGCACGAUGGCAGCAGGUCCAUUACUCAGGACCACUGUUGCGGUACCUCAUCCUAAUGUCACCUGAGAAUGCACCUGGCCUUAGUAAAUCUUUGUGGUAAUUUUUGAAGGGCGCAAUUCCUUGCUGGAAUUGAAAACACUAUUGUGAGUCACUCCUACUGACACCCCCAGAUCAUUUAUAAAGACCUUGAGAAAGCAAGAUGAUUCUGGUAGGCUCUUCAUUAAACUGGCAGCAGGAGGUGGGGCUUAGAUCCAGUUGACUGACUAGUAUGGAGCUCCUCCUUGGUUAAGCCGGUUGCCAGAAGACAGAACUGGAGGGGAAAGUAGCUCUCCUCAUGCCGUCUUUCCAUUCCCGUAGAGGAGAGAGGCAGUCAGUCCUCCUCUCAGCCUCUUGGCUUCCUUCGUCCUAAUGAUCACCCUGAAAGGUGCACAGCGCACCUUUGCCGGCGUGAUCUCAUUUAAUCCUUAGUACAGCUGAGUGGUAGCCAUUACUGUUCCCAUUUUACAGAUGAGGAAACAAAUCAGAAAAACAAGACAACGCACUGGGGGUUCCGUAGCCAUAAAAGACAAGCCAAGUGAGAAACAGCCUCAGCCCCUCUGGCCCUAGUGUGCAUCGUCUCCUGGGUGCCUGGCCUUUCCUCAGCUGCUGUUCCAAGUUAUUGUUAGAACAACCUCUUAUUCCAUGAACGUCAAACCACUUCCUUCCCCUGGUUGCCUGUUCAAACCUUUUUGGGCCAUAGAUAGUUUGGGCAGCAAAUGGAACUCCCUGCGUUUACCCACCUAUUCUUUGCCCCAGCCACUACCAGUCCAGAUGGGAAGAAAGAUGGUCCUGGGUGGGACACCAGGCGGAGAAAAGCUGGGUUAACUAAAGGGCAAAUCAAUAAUUCAUACACAAAACCAGAGUACAAAAACCACUGCCUCCAUUUAUUCCACCUCAGAUUGCCCUCUGGGGAGUCUUGUGGUCCACCCUAAACCCACCAAGUGGGGAGGUGGUGGUGGGAGCAGGAACACACGUAACUCCUCUUACACCCCGUAUCCUAUUGUGUAGUUUUAAAAAGUCAGUGUUUAUGGGCUUUGCCAAUUUUGAAUACAGUUUGUCUAAGAACACGUGUUUCCUACAGCGCUGAGAGCUUAAUAAAAGAAUUGCAACGUGGGGGAAGGUGGCACAACAACUGUAAUUGUUGACCUAACAACAGAGAAAGGAGCAGAUCUUUCUAAUGAGUUCAUUAGGUGCUUCCUAAAACAUCCCGGACUGCACACCAGCACCCACUUAGGUAGCACAAGGUGCAACUCCGAGGGGCGUCCUAGAAGAGCUGCUGCUCUUCGCCCACCAGGGAGUUCUAACUGUAUUGUAUGCAAGUUUAAGUAUAAUAAUAUUGGCCCGGUUUGAAAGAAGUUAAACUUUUUCUUGGGUUUCUAAUAAGGUAAAUGGUAUUUCCACCUUCUCAGAGGAGAAUUCAAAGGUUUUUUUGAUUCUGUUUUCUCAGUCAUCCAUUUGAGGCCUGGUCCUUGGCAUUCCUCAGUGUGGCAGGGAGCUAGCUCCCAAGCCACCUGGCAUAUGCUGGCCACGGUGAAGCCAUCUCAACGUUGCUCACCCCCACUUGUGGGCCCCCUGAAGUUAUGCUUUUGAAGAGUGUCCUAAGAACAGAUUAUCCUAUUUUUAGUUAUGUAUUGAGCCCAUUGAAAACCUGGAGUUGUAAGGAGAAUCAUCUCUAAGAGGGAAUGCAAACAUCUCCAUCUUUUUUUCUCUCCCAAUUCUGAAUGGCGCCAGUGUGAGCUAGGGUAGUAUUCACACCGGGGGGUGGCGUUUAUCUCUGCAUAUGUAAAGCUGCAGUGCUCCACCUGAAGGGAUAAAUUCUUGGCCACUUCUGGUGGGUCACUACUUUAUUCAAAGAUGUUUGGGGUCUGCCCGUUGCCUCCUGGACAGGUGGCAGGCAACUGUGUGAGACCUGCAGUGCCUCUGAUCCUUGGUCCCAGCCUGUGUUUCCAACCUUGCCUCGCACCACCCCAACAUGAGCCCCAGGCUCAGCAAGGGUGUCUUCUCAUGGUCUCCCAAACUGGCCAUGGUACAAGCAAUUUUGAUCCUUUGAGACUUAAGUGUGCUGUGGAUCACUGCACCCCUACAACCGCAAAAAACCCAAACACAGAGUUUGUCAAGAAUUUGGUGGCUUCCCAGGCUCUUGGAGCCCUCCCUGGGUUCCCCUUAAAAGCCCUGUCUGCCUAAAACACUCUUGUCCUGUGCCUCUUCAUGCCUCAUCCUCCCAGUCAUUUCUGGUCCCUGUGUCACUCAUGCCCAGGUUGGCACUCCUCACUCUGUGCACUGUCGCUGCAGUGAAACUCAGCCCUUUCCUGCCACACCUCCCCAUCAGCACAGCCAGGUGCCCAACUCCCACCUCGGGUCUCGUGCAGCGGCCCAUGCUCCGCAGAUCUGGCUCUCACUUGCACAUUGCCCCGGGCAGGGUUGGUUUCUAAUUCAUGUGUAUCUUGUCUCUGUAGUGUGCCUGCCAGCUUCUCCACAGCCGGCCUGGGUCGUCUUCUUUGUGGCCCCUCACCGUCCCCUAGUGGAGCACUCUUUCUAUAGUAGGUGCUCAAGAAAUACAUUUUCAACUCAAUUGAAGGGAAUAGGCUCCCAUAACAGAAUGAACUCAUUUCAGAAGUUUGUUACCAAGUCUUGAAAACCUUUUUUUAUAGAUCCUCCUGGACCGAAUCCAGCUCUACCUUAAUUAGCAAAGCAAUUUGCAACACCCUUUCCCAAAAGUGCUUAUGCGUCCCUUUGUGUGACUAGAAUAGGGGCGGCUGUACCAAUUGCUGUCACCACCCAAAAUUCAAUUUGGAAAAUCGAAAUCAGUGCCUGCAGCACUGAUGGAGAUUUGUAUGUAUAAAAGUUUAAUAUGGUAAAGAGAAAUUUACUGACGACUGAGCGGGGGAAAUGCAAAAGGAGCAAAAAUAGAGCUAUAAAGGACACUCGUCAGAUGAACAUCUAUUUUAUUCACAUUUGGGGAGCAGUGCUGAAUUUUUCAUAAUGUCCCCACUGCUGCCUUUUCAAACCCAGCACUGCUAUUAGUCCUAAAACGUCCGUGAUCUCAUUAGGUGUGAAUGCAAAAUCAGGUAAUUUAAAGCAUGUAUUAAGAAUAUUUCUAAAAAUGCACCAUCCAUUUCAUCAGAAAAACUGCAUUUCAGAGCUCAGGAAUGUUAGUGCUGGAGUCUGUGAAUAAAGUGUAAGCUAUAGGAACGUGGUGAGGCUUCUGGAAUUCGACAGAUGUCUCCACUGACAUCCUUUUAAGUAGUAAGCAUGACUUUUUUAAUUGCUGAGCUUGAGUUAUCUGUGGCUAGGAACCCAGCAUUGACCAAGGCUUCAUCACUCCUCAAGCAGUAAGAACUUGGCUAGAAAUGGGCAUGUCUCAAACUCCUGUCACCUCCACUGAGCUGCUUUUACAGCCUCAGUUAGACACCUUCUGACCUCAGACGGGAAACUGGAUGGCAAGUCUGUUUUAGGACUCAGGUGUUUGGUUUUCUUUCUCAGAUUACAACUGAGUCCAGGAAUUCUGGGAACUCUCUAGGAGACUGUCUCUUUCACACAGAGGAAGUUUCAGAAGUGAGAGUGGUCGGGUGCGGUGGCUCAAGCCUGUAAUCCCAGCACCUUGGGAGGCCGAGGUGGGCGGAUCACAAGGUCAGGAGAUCGAGACCAUCCUGGCUAACACGGUGAAACCCCAUCUCUAGUAAAAAUACAAAAAAUUAGCCAGGCGUGGUAGUGGGCGCCUAUAGUUCCAGCUACUUGGGAGGCUGAGGCAGGAGAAUGGCAUGAACCCGGGAGGCGGAGCUUGCAGUGAGCCAAGAUUGUGCCACUGCACUCCAGCCUGGGCGACAGAGUGAGACUCCAUCUAAAAAAAAAAAAAAA
This is a long non-coding RNA of Pan troglodytes (chimpanzee), 5260 nucleotides long. RefSeq lists it as uncharacterized. The record is from RefSeq and is a predicted model, not a curated record. Lineage: Eukaryota; Metazoa; Chordata; Mammalia; Primates; Hominidae. The transcript is spliced from 3 exons.